RNAcentral lists this ribosomal RNA (402 nucleotides) under uncultured bacterium. Its description in RNAcentral is "bacterial SSU rRNA". It matches the Rfam family "Bacterial small subunit ribosomal RNA", at positions 355 to 774 of the family's 1533-position model. The record is from RNAcentral.
UGGGGAAUAUUGGACAAUGGGCGCAAGCCUGAUCCAGCCAUGCCGCGUGAGUGAUGAAGGCCUUAGGGUUGUAAAGCUCUUUUGUCCGGGAAGAUAAUGACCGUACCGGAAGAAUAAGCUCCGGCUAACUUCGUGCCAGCAGCCGCGGUAAUACGAAGGGAGCUAGCGUUGUUCGGAAUUACUGGGCGUAAAGCGCAUGCAGGCGGAUCGUUAAGUCGAGGGUGAAAUCCCAGGGCUCAACCCUGGAACUGCCUUCAAUACUGGCGACCUUGAGUCCGGGAGAGGUGAGUGGAACUCCGAGUGUAGAGGUGAAAUUCGUAGAUAUUCGGAAGAACACCAGUGGCGAAGGCGGCUCACUGGCCCGGUACUGACGCUGAGAUGCGAAAGCGUGGGGAGCAAACA